GCGGAUAUGGCGGAAUUGGCAGACGCGCUAGACUUAGGAUCUAGUGGGAAACCGUGGGGGUUCAAGUCCCUUUAUCCGCACCA
Molecule: transfer RNA, 83 nt
Filed under: Bacillota bacterium
Lineage: Bacteria; Bacillati; Bacillota
Also listed under: 1 other name
Description: tRNA-Leu
Rfam family: tRNA
About the family: Transfer RNA (tRNA) molecules are approximately 80 nucleotides in length. Their secondary structure includes four short double-helical elements and three loops (D, anti-codon, and T loops).
Source: RNAcentral